UUGACCUCGGAUCAGGCAGGGAUACCCGCUGAACUUAAGCAUAUCAAUAAGCGGAGGAAAAGAAACCAACAGGGAUUGCCUCAGUAACGGCGAGUGAAGCGGCAACAGCUCAAAUUUGAAAUCUGGCUCUUUUAGGGUCCGAGUUGUAAUUUGUAGAGGAUGCUUCGGCGUCGGCUCCGGUCUAAGUUCCUUGGAACAGGACGUCAUAGAGGGUGAGAAUCCCGUAUGUGAUCGGUUGCCCUUGCCAUGUGAAGCUCCUUCGACGAGUCGAGUUGUUUGGGAUGCAGCUCUAAAUGGGAGGUAAAUUUCUUCUAAAGCUAAAUACUGGCCA
This 331-nucleotide ribosomal RNA is filed under the name uncultured Cenococcum. Its description in RNAcentral is "eukaryotic LSU rRNA". It matches the Rfam family "Eukaryotic large subunit ribosomal RNA", at positions 1 to 329 of the family's 3401-position model. The record is from RNAcentral. Lineage: Eukaryota; Fungi; Ascomycota; Dothideomycetes; Gloniales; Gloniaceae.